AUUGAUUUCAUUACCCUAUGACACUGCCACCUGCUACUUAAAAAUGUAGCCUUAAAACUUUAUGCAGAGUGUGCUAAACUCCUUGCUCCUACCACCUUCUCCCACGACUCCAACAUAAGAAAAUGGGUAAAAUCUAGCAAGUCUAUUCUAAGUACAGACCUUGGCAUAAAUGUGAGACACCCCAGGUUCCUCUGAAGUCCCUGCAACAUUGUGAUUAUUCCAACUGGCAGACAGGAUACAUUUGCUGAAAGGUUUCUCCAGCCAGACUACAGAAGCAGAAACCUUUUCUGUUGCCUUAUCAGUGAUAUUGCUAAAUUCUGCACUUGACAAUGUGGACCAGGUUUACUACUGCUCCACAAGCCAAUUCUUCCAAGAAAUAAAACAGGAUUCCAAUAUCAUAGGAUUCUAAUACCAGACCCUUACAUUUUUUGAAUACUUUUCAAACACAUUAUUCCGUUGCAUUCUCCCCCUGGCAGUCUGUUAGAAAAGUAGAGAAGCUGCUCUUCUUCCUUUCACUAAUGAAGGAAUUGGAGCUCAGAGGGGUUACGUGGCUUGCCAGAAACAACACGGCUAAUGAAGAAUACAACGCAGGCUUGAACCCAAGAUUUACUCAUCUAUCCACUUUUAUGCUACAAUUUUCAUUUUUAAUAUCUGAUACAAGUAUGAACUUAAAAAGUAUAUUGUUUCUAGAUACAAAAGCAAAGGUGAAAGCAUGAUAUCAAUAUUGAUGAUACCAAAAAAUUAAGAUUAAAAAUAGCAAUGACAUGUUAAUAAUUUUGGAGGCCUCUAAAGUUACUGGCAGUCCUAGUUCAAUCCAAUAUGAAUCUGAUAUCAUCUUAUAUCUUCAAUCAAUGUUACAUGAUUAUAAAUUUAUGUAUAUAUUCACCAUAGAAAAUUACAGAAUUGGGUGGUAAGAAACAACUAGCUAUAUAAAUUGCACAUACUCCCCCAAAUCAUUCUCAAGUCUUGUGGCUUCACACUAAAUUAUGAAGUUCCCAAUGUAAAACCUGAUUUGAUUUCAACACUAAGCGAAUUACAACAGCAUAAGCAUGUUCUUACUACAUAAUACUUGCAACAUACAUUCAAUUUCCGAAGCACUUUUGGACAAUGUCUAAAAUCCAUAAGCUAAAAGCAGAACCCAACACAGAAUCUUGUUUCUUUUAAAUGGCAAAGGUUAGUCUACCUAUAUGAGAUGAAUACCAAAUAACAUAAUUAGAACUUAUUAAAAAUUUACAGAAUCAGGCUAGAGAAACUACUUGAGGUCAAAGACUAUAGGCCCUUAAUUGUAUAGAUGAGAAAAUUGAUGCCCAGAGAAGUUAAGUGACAUUCCCAACAGCAAUUAAUGACACAGAUGGAAUCAGAAUAUAUGUCUAUCUGUCAAUCCAGAACUUCCCAUUAUUCUAUAUUACCUCUGCAUUUAAUGUGCUCUUAAAAAAGUCACUAACAUCUAAAACACUUAAGACACAUUAAGACUCAAAAACCAGGGGACACAACAAUGUUCACGACAGUCUUUAGAAAACAAUUUCUUAAAGGAAUCUCAAAAAUUCCAAACAACAAGCACUGAAAGCUGGCUCUUUAUUUUUUUUAUUUUCUUUCCUAUCCAGAGCCCUACUUGAUCAAAAACUGGCUCUUUAAUCCAUUGCAAAUUAUCAAGUAGCUUUUAAUAACUAACACGGCUAUAAACCACCAUAACUGUUCUUUUUUCCAUAUCAAUACUAUUCACUUACUAAAAAAAAAAAUCUGAGGGUAUAGAAUAUGCUGAUAACUGUGCUGGGUAUUGGCGACACCAGGGAACAAAACAGACGAGGCCUCUGGCUCUUCUAAUGGACAGCUGGGUGCAACUCUCUAAAAAUACUACUUCAUGAUUUGACAGGAUAUUUGCCAAAGUCCUUCACUACUCUACACAACUAUAACAACAUUUUCUUCCACCUCUUCCAAACUUAUAAUAACCUUCACCACACCCCCUCUAAAACGUGAAUACGUCCUUUGGUAACUCAGCAUUCUACUUCACUAAAGAAGGUGUGAACGUGUUAACUAGAACUACAGCAGAUUUUUAAACUGACUUUACCACUCCUCACGGCCUGCGGCAAAUUUCAAGAACUUUUCACAAUCUGUAGUAACCCUUCCUGGUUCACAACCCUGAUCUCAAAUGACUGCUAACACACCCAUCCUACCCUCCACUAGAAAUCUGAGUCAGAUGGUUUAGGAGCAACCAUGUUAGGGAGCAUCUUCAGUGGACCCCUUUAUGAGCCAGAAGCUGACUUACUUCCUCUCCUUCUCUGUUUAUUUCCUCUGGAUUCUUGUGUAUCUCUGGAUACAAUGUAUCUCCAAUUAAUCAGCAUCUAAUUUUAUCAAGUGUGUUCCUGAUAACUUGUGCACAAAUUAACUUUUGGCAACAAAUCUGUUUCACCUACACAAAUCCAUUAUAUUUUAAGAGAUGCUCAAUUUGCAUCCUUUAAGUUUCUCAUGCUUCCCCUUCUCCACUUCUUAAAUUCUUAAAAAGCUAUAAACUGCAUAAGUUCGAGGAACUUAGGUCGUCCAUAAUAUUGCUAAUGACCAGCCUUAAACUAGACAACCACUGAAGAACCUGGCCUAUGAGCUGAGAAACUUGGGUUCUUUUAUGGCUGGCCAUUAACGACAAGUGGGGCUGUACCACUGUGCUGGUCACUUGAAGUUCUCUGAGUCACCUGAAAAUGAGGGAGUAAUUGGAGCCAAAAGAGGUCUGUCAUCAUAGGCAGCCAAUCUAGAAUUCUAGAAUCCUCCAAAUUUAGUUUAAUAUCACAUACUAUACUGGGUUACUCAAAACAGUGUCAUUCUGGCUGGGGGUGGUGGCUCACGCCUGUAAUCCCAACACUUUGGAAGGCCGAGACAGGUGGAUCACUUGAGGUCAGGAGUUCCAGACCAGCCUAGCCAACAUGGAGAAAUCCCUGUCUCUACUGAAAAUACAAAAAUUAGCCAGCCGUGGUGGCGCACACUUGUAAUCCCAACUACUUGGGAGGCUAAGGUGGGAGUAUUGCUAGAAUCCGAGAGGCGGAGGUUGCAGUGAGCAGACAUCACACUACUGCACUCCGGCCUGGGCGGCAGAGCGAGAUAACGUCUCAAAAAAAAAAAAAAAGUGUCAUUCUGUAAGCUCUUCUAGCCUGCCCAAGUCAUAGGCCCUAUAAAGGGAAGACUUUCUGCAUGCCAUCAAUGUCUCCUGUCCUACUGAACAGCCCUGAAUCUGAAAGGGGAUGGUCCCCCACCACCUCUCCACGGACAAAUCAUAAACAUUUAACAUUUAAAAAAAAUCAUCUCCUGUAAUUCAACCCAGGCCUCUCAUGGCAUUACCAUUCACAUAAGAGAAAGUUGAACCUCAACUGGAAAAGUAUAUGGUUUGGGGAUGUUGUUUUGUUUGUUUGGGUUGUGGAAAAACAGAUGUCAGAAAACAAAGUGGAUAUCAAGAUACUAGAACAGUAAGAAUUUAGGCCUCGGUCUGCAAACGACAUUUGAACAUCAAUACUUACCAGGCAGCAGGACAUGGCAAGGCCCGCCACGGCACAGCCUCCUCCUCCACCAUCUCACCAGGCUCCCUGCCAGGCCCGGCGCAGGGCAGCGACUGAGCUACUAGGGCGUCUGGUCCGGCUGCUACUCCGCCGCCGCCGCCGCCUUCUCACAACCACAACAACACUGCAGCAGCGGCCACACAGAGUGCACUCCCGACGCCGAGCCGGGCGACGAGCGGAGACCCGCGCGCACGCUCGGGCGCUGAAGCCGGUGUCCGGGACAUAGCUUAAGGAAAUAGGAAUCCUUUAUUCCUGGGACUUAAAAGCUUGACUUUCUCCAGUAAGUCAAUUACCAGUGCCCACGGCAGGAAGAGCUCUGAUGCCAGGGUUGACAGCACGCUGGAAAACCGGAGGAGUGUUUGCAUUUCUGGGGCCUCAAGUAAUGAGAAGUUCUUCCAAGAACACUGACAGGGGUAUUAUUGCCCUAUUUUAGAAUUAUUACUCUGAAGAUCAGGGAAUUUCAGGCGGUUGAACUCAUGCCACAGCACCUGUGCUUUUCUGGUAGGGGAGGGAUGGAGUCCAGCUCAGGAGUCCCCCGUCAUGGGGGAAAGCACUGUGAUGGGAUGUCUGUGGGGGAAUUAGAACCUGGCCAAGGCCCCCCACAGCAAGGAAAGGGAUGCUCUUCCCAUCCUUG
Molecule: long non-coding RNA, 4176 nt
Filed under: Homo sapiens (human)
Lineage: Eukaryota; Metazoa; Chordata; Mammalia; Primates; Hominidae
Description: non-protein coding lnc-LINC02203-16:1
Source: RNAcentral